GUGUGGAUCCAGCAAGCUUUGUACUGACGGAUCACUAGCAGCUGCACAAAAUGGCAGAUCACUGUACAGUGGUACCUUGGUUCUCAAACGCCUUGGUUCUCAAACACCGAAAACCCAGAAGUGUUCCGGUUUUCGAACAUUUUUCAGAAGCCAAACGUCUGAUGCGGUUGUCGUCUAUUGUUUCCAGGGCGCCUGUACCAGUCAGAAGCUGUGCCUUGGUUUUUGAACAUUUCGGAAGUCAAAUGGACUUCCAGAAUGGAUUAAGUCUGGCACUUUUGUUUUUACUAUUUAUUUUGUGUUUUUGUUUUUGAGGCUUUUUCGGUUCAUUUGUUUUUGUGACUGUGUGGAGCCCAGUUCAGCUACUGAUUGAUUGUGUGACUGUAGAAAUGGAUAAAAGUCCCCCAUCCAAACAAUGACUAUCAUCAGUGCAGGUAAGAAAAAAUAAAAAUAAUUUUAAAUUUUAUCAUCUUCCAUACUGUCUUAGUCAUUUUAUAGUACAGUACAUUGAUUAUUGCUUUCAUUUUAUGGAUCAGUGGUCUCAUUAGAUAGUAAAAUUCGUGUUAAACUGCUGUUUUAGGAUUUUUUUAAAAGUCUGGAAAGCAUUAAUCCAUUUUGCAUUACCUUCUAUGGGAAAGCGUGCCUUGGUUUUGGAAUGCUUUGGUUUUGGAACGGACUUCUGGAACGGAUUAAGUUUGAGAACCAAGAUACCACUGUAGUUCAAUUUACUCUGGUUAAUAUUUUACAUUCAAUGCUAUCAUUUUGUGCAGGUUAAGAUAGGUAGGAGACUAAACAUCAUUAAAUUUUAUCAUAGGUUUUCUGUAUAAACGGUAAAUUAGGUAUUUUGGGGGAACAAUGCUUGGGUCUGGUUAGCGGACUGGGUACUGGAAUGACGCAAAAGCAGUUAAACAGAAAGCAAUGAGUGGUAAGGAUCUGAAAUGAAAAUAUAAAUAUAGGUUUUUCAAUCAGUAUGAACAUGAGUAAUUUUAAAAUGCAUUAUGUCAGUAUACCUUGUUUUGUGUUUUCUGGGAGGAUUUAUCUAUUGUCUGACCAUGACUUCUCCAUCAAAAAUGUUACAGAAAAGGUCUACAGAAAUAGCCUAUUAAAUAAAAAAAUGUCAAGCAACAGUUGGGUCACAGAGUCUUCAGUUGACCUUCUCAUGGAUAAAGUCCCUUCGCUGUGAGAUAUAACCAGAAUAUAUCUGAGUGGACCAAGAAAAUGCAUCUCUAUUAUCUACAAGUAGAUAGCAAUAAAUACACUGAAUAACAAUAUCUCAAACAGAAAGUUUGAGAUGCAAUCUCUGAAUUACCGGACCGUUCUUUGGCACGACAUUGCUUUCUCAAGAGAAAAGUACAGAAUGCAGCUCAGAGUGGAAAAAAUAUAUGAAUCUCUACAGAACUAGAUAUGGUAUUUUAAGGAGAAGGCAACAAAAGAUGAAUAGGUAAGUUGAGUUUCUGAUCAUGCAAGUGCCCUGCUUACUUAAUUGAGUUUGUUCUAGUGGAUGACUGUCAGGGAACUGCCAUAGGAGCUGGAAGUGGAGGGAAGGCUCCAAAGGGAUGGCGGAAAGGGUCCCAGUAGGGAGAGAGGGAGCCCGUCUGCUGGGGAAGGAAAUCAGCGUAACACCAGUAGAGAAGGGGGGCAGAUGGGGAAUCGGGAGGAGGCUCCAAGACUCCUCGCCGGAGACCAGCGGAGAGAGUACGGGUACUCCACUGCCCACACCCUCCCUGCGCAGAAGACUUCCGCGCAGGGAGAGUAGGAGGAGACUUGGCGUCAAGGAACUUUUGUGCUGGAAGAAGUUUAAGAAACGCCCACUGACGGAUUCUGCCAGCGACUGAGACAGUCACGAUGCUGGAGGCUGUUCAGUCAGAAAGGGUUAACCAGGUAACCUAGCCAGGAGUGGCGGCAACUUACGCACGAGCAACCCCUAAACCCAUUACAAUGACCUUAGAAAUUAAAGCUAUACCUCAAGACUGCUCUGGGCACAAGAGUCAUGAAUCUAAUUUGGGCCAACAAUGUACCAGUGCUCCACAGUUCUCCAGAACGUUCUUAUGGAUAGAAUGUCAUUGGAAAGAUUUAGAGCAGAUACUUCACUGUCAACUGUGAAACUAAUUGCUGCAUCAACCUCUUGUUCUGCUCGUUCAUAGUCCCCAACUGCCCUGAAAAUGCUGGGGUGGGAGUUGUAAUGUCGUAUUUUAAAGUGUGUGCAAGUCCAUUGCCUUUAUUUAAUUUAUCCCCAGACAGACUCCAACUCUGCAAGCUGGGCAGAAAGUACUUGGGAAGAUGGACUUCAGGGUGGCAAGCUGGAAGGGAUGGAAAAGUUCUUCAUCCACUUAUGUGUCCGCUGUUAAACUUUGUAAUAAUAAUAAUAGUAAUAAUUUUUUAUGCAUAUCCCGCCCAUCUGGCUGGGUUUCCCCAGCCUCUCUGGGUGGCUCCCAACAGAAUAUUAAAAACACAAUAAAACAUCAAAC
Molecule: non-coding RNA, 2465 nt
Organism: Podarcis lilfordi (Lilford's wall lizard)
Lineage: Eukaryota; Metazoa; Chordata; Lepidosauria; Squamata; Lacertidae
Source: the annotation of a GenBank genome assembly